Molecule: ribosomal RNA, 292 nt
Filed under: uncultured bacterium
Lineage: Bacteria
Description: partial 16S ribosomal RNA
Rfam family: Bacterial small subunit ribosomal RNA
Source: RNAcentral
GUGUCAGCAGCCGCGGUAAUACAGAGGUCCCAAGCGUUGUUCGGAUUUACUGGGCGUAAAGGGUGCGUAGGCGGUUGUUUAAGUCUGACGUGAAAUCUCCGGGCCUAACCCGGAAACUGCGUUGGAUACUAUUCAACUAGAGGAAUGGAGGGGAGACUGGAAUACUUGGUGUAGCAGUGAAAUGCGUAGAUAUCAAGUGGAACACCAGUGGCGAAGGCGAGUCUCUGGACAUUUCCUGACGCUGAGGCACGAAAGCCAGGGGAGCAAACGGGAUUAGAAACCCUGGUAGUCC